This 491-nucleotide ribosomal RNA is filed under the name uncultured bacterium. RNAcentral's name for it is "partial 16S ribosomal RNA". It matches the Rfam family "Bacterial small subunit ribosomal RNA", at positions 29 to 507 of the family's 1533-position model. The record is from RNAcentral.
AGUGAACGCUGGCGGUAGGCCUAACACAUGCAAGUCGAACGGCAGCACAGUAAGAGCUUGCUCUUACGGGUGGCGAGUGGCGGACGGGUGAGGAAUACAUCGGAAUCUACUUUUUCGUGGGGGAUAACGUAGGGAAACUUACGCUAAUACCGCAUACGACCUACGGGUGAAAGCAGGGGAUCUUCGGACCUUGCGCGAUUGAAUGAGCCGAUGUCGGAUUAGCUAGUUGGCGGGGUAAGGCCCACCAAGGCGACGAUCCGUAGCUGGUCUGAGAGGAUGAUCAGCCACACGGGAACUGAGACACGGUCCAGACUCCUACGGGAGGCAGCAGUGGGGAAUAUUGGACAAUGGGCGCAAGCCUGAUCCAGCCAUACCGCGUGGGUGAAGAAGGCCUUCGGGUUGUAAAGCCCUUUUGUUGGGAAAGAAAAGCAGCAGGUUAAUACCCCGCUGUUCUGACGGUACCCAAAGAAUAAGCACCGGCUAACUUCGUG